This 35-nucleotide non-coding RNA is filed under the name Trypanosoma brucei brucei. The record is from RNAcentral. Lineage: Eukaryota; Euglenozoa; Kinetoplastea; Trypanosomatida; Trypanosomatidae.
CGUAAUGGUAUUUGUCGUGUAGGUAUGUAUAUGAU